Long non-coding RNA from Aedes aegypti (yellow fever mosquito), 303 nucleotides. RefSeq lists it as uncharacterized. The record is from RefSeq and is a predicted model, not a curated record. NCBI's taxonomy places the organism in Eukaryota, Metazoa, Arthropoda, Insecta, Diptera, Culicidae. The transcript is spliced from 2 exons.
ACCUGUAGCGUUUGCGGGUAUGGGUUCAAGUCUUAUACCCAUCUGAACAGGCACAUCAAAUCGGUCCACCAGGACGUGCGGUUCAAGUGCGACCACUGCGAGAUAUCGUACGGACGAAAGGACAAACUGCGGAUGCACAUGGAGAAGACUCAUAAUAUCCAAACAUACUUCGUAUGUGAUGUUUGCCUUCAAUCGUACAACUGCAAAGAAAAGCUAGACGACCACAAGACGCACCACGAGCAUCCGAAACCGCUGCAGUGUGGAGUGUGUCUGGCCGCUCAUGUGACGCCCGAAGAGUACCAG